This is a long non-coding RNA of Pan troglodytes (chimpanzee), 1503 nucleotides long. RefSeq lists it as uncharacterized. The record is from RefSeq and is a predicted model, not a curated record. Lineage: Eukaryota; Metazoa; Chordata; Mammalia; Primates; Hominidae. The transcript is spliced from 2 exons.
GCAGUCUUUCAUACCAUUCUAUGAAAACUGCCAUGUAUGUGAAAAAACUUUUUGCUUUUAAAUUGGUCCGCAGUUGCCUGUAAUUUGUUUAAUCUUAAAAAUUGGCUCUCAACACACUUGUAUCAUUAGGUCUAUACAUGGCCUGCAUUCAUUCAUUUAUCUACUCAUUUAUUGCUUUUUAAAAAUGAUUAAGCACCUACAAACUCACCACCCUAAACAAAAGCUAACACCUUAACCUACAUUAACCUCAGUCUCUUACCCCACUACAUCCUUCUAUUAUUCCCAACCUAAAACGUCACUAUCCCGAAUCUUAGGCUUGUCAAUUGUUUGCCUUAUUUUUAAUAGCUUUAAUGAUUCUAUAUGCACUAUUAUAAAGUAUUCUUUUAUUAUAAUUGCUUUUAACUUUAUUAAACAAGGUAUAUAACUUUAUUCAGUUAAUAUUAUGUAGCUAAGAUUCAUCCAGCUUAUUGUAUAUCACUCAUUCAUUUUGACUGCUACAUAACACUCUAUUGGGUGAAUACAUCACAAUUUAGUCUGCCAUUGAGAGGUGUUUGACUUAUUUCUAGCCUUUUCUCUUGUAAGCAGUGCUUGUAUAAACAUUUGUAGUGUCUCCUCUUGUAAAUGUGCAAGCAUGUGCUGGGUACUUACUUAGGCAUGCAAUUACCAAGCCAUAAGAUAUAUAACUAGUCUAGUUUAGUACCAGGUUUCUCAAACUUGGCACUGCUGAAAUUUGGGGCAGAUAAUUCUUUGUCCCGGGGGCUGUUGUGUGCAGCAUAGGGUGUUUAGCUGAAUGGCUGGUCUCUAUACACUUGGUGCUGAUAGUACCACCCCCGAGUUGUGACAACCAAAAAUGACUCCAGACAUUGCCAAAUAUCCUGGGGCAGGGGGUACACAAAUCACAUCUGGCUCAGAAACACUACUUUAAAGAAUAAAACUGAGGCAAUUACAAAGUGGUUGUAUCAGCUGAUACACUUGCCAGGAAUGUGAGUGUAUCCUAUGUAUCUUUAUUCUCUGUGACAGUUAGUUUUGCCAGACUUCUGAAUUUUUGUCAAUAUUCUUUAGCAUGACAAUUUAUAUUCCUAAUCCUAUGCUGUAAUUAGUCAACUGUUCUUCUUUGAUUCAACUAACUCAAUAUACUUAUUUAUUUAUUCAUCCUGCAAAUAUUUGAGUAGAAAUGUCAUGUCCAGUACUGGAUAGGUGUGAGAUACAGUAAUAGCAGAAGGCAAUGCAUGCCUCUUCUCUUACAGCUUGCACAACAGUGGGUGAAAUGAGCAUUAAUCCAUUUAUCAUCAUGUUCAAUAGAAAGGGAUGAAUAUCUAGUGCUGAAGACCUGUAAUGGGGGAAUUUGACCCAGACAGCAAAAUCAGGAGCUCACAAGAGAAUGGAAGAGCAUGAGUGUUUCCGGAGGCCAGAGCUAUCCUACGUUUCACUUUCUGAUUUAUAUCAAAGACGAAGUGACUGUUUCAUCUUCUUUUAUAAACAGGAUCUCCAUUCCCCAUUUCA